This 2877-nucleotide long non-coding RNA is filed under the name Salmo salar (Atlantic salmon). RNAcentral describes it as "lncRNA (ENSSSAG00000086037.1)". The record is from RNAcentral. Lineage: Eukaryota; Metazoa; Chordata; Actinopteri; Salmoniformes; Salmonidae.
CUUGUUUCAAGUAUGUUUUAUUAUGAAAAGUACAAUAUAUCCAUGUAUACUUGUACAACUAUGGAGCGUAUGUCCACAUAUAAUUGUACAAUUUGUUUUUCCAACAUAAAAGACAAGAAAUGAUCACAUUGGUAUUUUAACGGUGUUAUUGUAAGAGUUUAAAUGUUUAAACAGAGGAUACAUCUAAAACAGGAUAAAACAAGUGCAGUAUGUUGUGAGAAUGUUACUUUAACGUCGACUCAUAACGUCACACUAUAACGUCAUGGGAGUCUUGUGGAAAGACUAACGGUGUUAUUGUAAGAGGUCAUGGGUCAAGGUCCUCACAAUUAUAGGAAGAUGCGCAUGUGUGUGUGUGAGAGUGUGUCCUGUGUGUGUGUAUGUGUCCUGUUUGUGUGUGUGUGUGUGUGUGUGUGUGUGUGUGUGUGUGUGUGUGUGUGUGUGUGUGUGUGUGUGUGUGUGUGUGUGUGUGUGUGUGUCCAGUGUGUGUGUGUGUGUGUGUGUGUGAGUCCAGUGUGUGUGUGUUUGUUUGUCUAGUGUGUGUGUGUGUGUGUGUGUGUUUGUCCAGUGUGUGUGUGUGUGUGUGUGUGUGUGUGUGUGUGUGUGUUUGUCCAUGUGUGUGUGUGUGUGUGUGUGUGUGUUUGUUUUUGUCCAGUGUGUGUGUGUGUGUGUGUGUUUGUCCAGUGUGUGUGUGUGUGUGUGUUUGUCCAGUGUGUGUGUGUGUGUGUGUUUGUCCAGUGUGUGUGUGUGUGUGUGUUUGUCCAGUGUUUGUGUGUGUGUGUCCAGUGUGUGUGUGUGUGUGUGUCCAGUGUGUGUGUGUGUGUGUCCAGUGUGUGUGUGUGUGUGUCCAGUGUGUGUGUGUGUGUGUCCAGUGUGUGUGUGUGUGUGUCCAGUGUGUGUGAGUCCAGUGUGUGUGAGUCCAGUGUGUGUGUGUGUGUGAGUCCAGUGUGUGUGUGUGUGUGUGUUUGUCCAGUGUGUGUGUGUGUUUGUCCAGUGUGUGUGUGUGUGUGUGUGUGUGUGUGUUUGUCCAGUUUGUGUGUGUGUUUGUCCAGUGUGUGUGUGUGUGUGUGUGUGUGUUUGUGUGUGUGUUUGUCCAGUGUGUGUGUGUGUGUGUUUGUCCAGUGUGUGUGUGUUUGUCCAGUGUGUGUGUGUGUGUGUGUUUGUCCAGUGUGUGUGUGUGUGUGUGUUUGUCCAGUGUGUGUGUGUGUGUGUGUGUUUGUCCAGUGUGUGUGUGUGUGUGUGUGUGUUUGUCCAGUGUGUGUGUGUGUGUGUGUGUUUGUCCAGUGUGUGUGUGUGUGUGUGUGUUUGUCCAGUGUGUGUGUGUGUGUGUUUGUCCAGUGUGUGUGUGUGUGUGUGUCCAGUGUGUGUGUGUCCAGUGUGUGUGUGUGUGUGUGUCCAGUGUGUGUGUGUGUGUCCAGUGUGUGUGUGUGUGUCCAGUGUGUGUGUGUGUGUGUCCAGUGUGUGUGUGUGUGUGUCCAGUGUGUGUGUGUGUGUGUCCAGUGUGUGUGUGUGUGUGUCCAGUGUGUGUGUGUGUCCAGUGUGUGUGUGUGAGUCCAGUGUGUGUGUGUGUGUGUUUGUCUAGUGUGUGUGUCCAGUGUGUGUGUGUCUGUGUGUAUCCAGUGUUUGUGUGUGUGUGUGUCCAGUGUGUGUGUUUGUCCACUUUGUUUGUCCAGUGUGUGUGUGUGUGUGUGUCCAGUGUGUGUGUGUGUGUGUAUUUUUGUUUGACCAGUGUGUGUGUGUGUGUGUGUGUGUCCAGUGUGUGUGUGUGUGUGUCCAGUGUGUGUGUGUGUGUGUGUGUGUGUGUCCAGUGUGUGUGUGUGUAUGUGUGUGAGUGUGUGUGUGUUUUCGUUUGUCCAGUGUGUGUGUGUGUGUGUAAGUGUGUGUGUCCAGUGUGUGUGUGUGUGUGUGUGUGUGUAUGUUUUUGUCCAGUGUGUGUGUGUGUGUGUGUGUGUUUGUGUGUCCAGUGUGCGUGUGUCCAGAAUGUGUUUGUGUGUGUUUGUUCAGUGUGUGUGUUGAGAGUGUGUGUGUCUAUUUUGUGUCCAGUGUGUGUGUGUGUGUGUGUGUGUCCGGUGUGUGUGUUGAGUGUGUGUGUCCAUUUUGUGUCCAGUUUGUGUGUGUUCAGUGUGUGUCCAUUUUGUGUCCAGUUUGUGUGUGUUCAGUGUGUGUUCAGUGUGUGUUCAGUGUGUGUGUGUGUGUGUGUGUGUGUGUGUGUCCAGUGUGUGUGUGUGUGUGUGCCCAGUUUGUGUGUCCAGUGUGUGUGUGUUUGUGUGUGUGUGUUUGUGUGUGUGUCCAGUGUGUGUGUGUUUGUGUGUGUGUUUGUGUGUGUGUGUGUGUGUGUGUGUGUGUGUGUGUGUGUUUGUCCAGGUGGUGUGUGUGUGUGUGUGUGUGUGUGUGUGUGUGUGUGUGUGUGUGUGUGUGUGUGUGUGUGUGUGUGUGUCCAGUGUGUGUGUGUGUGUGUGUGUGUGUGUGUGUGUGUGUCCAGUGUGUGUGUGUGUGUGUGUGUGUGUGUGUGUGUGUGUGUGUGUGUGUGUGUGUGUGUGUGUGUGUGUGUGUGUGUGUCCAGUUAUUAUUUCAGGGACACUGAGGAUUCAUCAUAAACCCCAAACCCUGGAUAGAGGGGCUCAGUGAAUGUGGAGGUGAAUGUGAUCAGGUGGGUCAGUGUGUCAGAGGAGGCUCUAUAGAAGGACAGAGUGCCGGUUGACCAGUCCAGAUACACUCCUACUCUGUGGGGGGCUGGAGGAGGGGACGUCUAUGGUAGUGGAGUUAUUAUUAUACCAGCUGGAGGAGGGGACGUCUAUGGUAGUGGAGUUAUUAUUAUACCAGCUGGAGGAGGGGACGUCUAUGGUAGUGGAGUUAUUAUUAUACCAGCUGGAGGAGGGG